CCAUCAUCAUCAAUUUUGAAACGGAGCUACAAUUUACAAAUCUGAAGCAUACAAGAGGAGUACAAGGCAAUCGAUCGGUGAUUUUGUGGUAUUCUGAUAGUUACACCAUCUAUAUUUUUGUUUCGUGAUAAGUAAUUUUGAAUUGAUUAGUAAAACCAAGAAUUUUGCUAGGGAAUUCAAUAAGAACCUAUUAGAGAGAAUAUUUUGAGGUAAAAGGCUUAGUGGUGAGAUUAAUUGAGGGUAAAAGCCAAUUUAUUGAGAGUAUACACGAGUGAACCAUUGAUUCGAGCGAAACACGUAAGGGAGUGGUGAGGAAAUUGUUUUCUACUAACCCUUAUUUUGUAGGAAAUAUGUCUAACUCGAAGGAUAAAGGAACUUAUGAGGAACAACCCUCAACAGUUGAAUUGAAAUUCCAGAUGGAAGCCAUGCAUAAAGAAUGGGAUCAAAGGUUGAGAAAAACUAUGGAGCAAAUGCAAUAACAAUUAGAAGAGAUGAGGAUG
This 500-nucleotide long non-coding RNA is filed under the name Panax ginseng (ginseng). RNAcentral's name for it is "long non-coding RNA (PGIN_LNC016027)". The record is from RNAcentral. Lineage: Eukaryota; Viridiplantae; Streptophyta; Magnoliopsida; Apiales; Araliaceae.